UGGGGAAUUUUGGACAAUGGGCGCAAGCCUGAUUCAGCAAUGCCGCGUGCAGGAUGAAGGCCUUCGGGUUGUAAACUGCUUUUGUACGGAGCGAAAAGGUCUGCCCUAAUACGGUGGGCCCAUGACGGUACCGUAAGAAUAAGCACCGGCUAACUACGUGCCAGCAGCCGCGGUAAUACGUAGGGUGCGAGCGUUAAUCGGAAUUACUGGGCGUAAAGCGUGCGCAGGCGGUUAUAUAAGACAGAUGUGAAAUCCCCGGGCUCGACCUGGGACCUGCAUUUGUGACUGGAAAACUAGAGGACGGUAGAGGAGAAUGGAAUUCCUCGUGUAGCAGUGAAAUGCGUAGAUAUGAGGAGGAACACCGGUGGCGAAGGCGGUCCCCUGGACCUGUACUGACGCUGAUGCACGAAAGCGUGGGGAGCAAACA
This 427-nucleotide ribosomal RNA is filed under the name uncultured bacterium. RNAcentral describes it as "bacterial SSU rRNA". It matches the Rfam family "Bacterial small subunit ribosomal RNA", at positions 355 to 774 of the family's 1533-position model. The record is from RNAcentral.